RNAcentral lists this ribosomal RNA (1428 nucleotides) under uncultured organism. Its description in RNAcentral is "SSU rRNA". It matches the Rfam family "Bacterial small subunit ribosomal RNA". The record is from RNAcentral.
UACAGGCUUAACACAUGCAAGUCGAGGCGUUUCGGGAAGAAAGCUUGCUUUCUUUGCCGGCGACCGGCGCACGGGUGAGUAACACGUAUCCAACCUGCCCUUUACUCGGGGAUAGCCUUUCGAAAGAAAGAUUAAUACCCGAUAGUAUAAUGAUUCCGCAUGGUUUCAUUAUUAAAGGAUUCCGGUAAAGGAUGGGGAUGCGUUCCAUUAGGUUGUUGGUGAGGUAACGGCUCACCAAGCCUUCGAUGGAUAGGGGUUCUGAGAGGAAGGUCCCCCACAUUGGAACUGAGACACGGUCCAAACUCCUACGGGAGGCAGCAGUGAGGAAUAUUGGUCAAUGGGCGCUAGCCUGAACCAGCCAAGUAGCGUGAAGGAUGAAGGCUCUAUGGGUCGUAAACUUCUUUUAUAUAAGAAUAAAGUGCAGUAUGUAUACUGUUUUGUAUGUAUUAUAUGAAUAAGGAUCGGCUAACUCCGUGCCAGCAGCCGCGGUAAUACGGAGGAUCCGAGCGUUAUCCGGAUUUAUUGGGUUUAAAGGGAGCGUAGGUGGACUGGUAAGUCAGUUGUGAAAGUUUGCGGCUCAACCGUAAAAUUGCAGUUGAUACUGUCAGUCUUGAGUACAGUAGAGGUGGGCGGAAUUCGUGGUGUAGCGGUGAAAUGCUUAGAUAUCACGAAGAACUCCGAUUGCGAAGGCAGCUCACUGGACUGCAACUGACACUGAUGCUCGAAAGUGUGGGUAUCAAACAGGAUUAGAUACCCUGGUAGUCCACACAGUAAACGAUGAAUACUCGCUGUUUGCGAUAUACAGUAAGCGGCCAAGCGAAAGCAUUAAGUAUUCCACCUGGGGAGUACGCCGGCAACGGUGAAACUCAAAGGAAUUGACGGGGGCCCGCACAAGCGGAGGAACAUGUGGUUUAAUUCGAUGAUACGCGAGGAACCUUACCCGGGCUUAAAUUGCAGUGGAAUGAUGUGGAAACAUGUCAGUGAGCAAUCACCGCUGUGAAGGUGCUGCAUGGUUGUCGUCAGCUCGUGCCGUGAGGUGUCGGCUUAAGUGCCAUAACGAGCGCAACCCUUAUCUUCAGUUACUAACAGGUCAUGCUGAGGACUCUGGAGAGACUGCCGUCGUAAGAUGUGAGGAAGGUGGGGAUGACGUCAAAUCAGCACGGCCCUUACGUCCGGGGCUACACACGUGUUACAAUGGGGGGUACAGAAGGCAGCUAGCGGGUGACCGUAUGCUAAUCCCAAAAUCCUCUCUCAGUUCGGAUCGAAGUCUGCAACCCGACUUCGUGAAGCUGGAUUCGCUAGUAAUCGCGCAUCAGCCACGGCGCGGUGAAUACGUUCCCGGGCCUUGUACACACCGCCCGUCAAGCCAUGGGAGCCGGGGGUACAAGAAGUACGUAACCGCAAGGAUCGUCCUAGGGUAAAACUGGU